GAAACUAAAACGACUCUCGGCAACGGAUAUCUCGGCUCUCGCAUCGAUGAAGAACGUAGCGAACUGCGAUACUUGGUGUGAAUUGCAGAAUCCCCGUGAACCAUUCGAUUCUUUGAACGCAAGUUGCGCCCGAAGCCAUCCGGCCGAGGGCACGUCUGCCUGGGCGUCACGCAUCGCG
RNAcentral lists this ribosomal RNA (178 nucleotides) under Fagraea salticola. RNAcentral describes it as "5.8S ribosomal RNA". The stretch from base 12 to 169 matches the Rfam family "5.8S ribosomal RNA". From Rfam's summary of the family: 5.8S ribosomal RNA (5.8S rRNA) is a component of the large subunit of the eukaryotic ribosome. The record is from RNAcentral. Lineage: Eukaryota; Viridiplantae; Streptophyta; Magnoliopsida; Gentianales; Gentianaceae.